RNAcentral lists this transfer RNA (71 nucleotides) under Alkalicoccobacillus porphyridii. It matches the Rfam family "tRNA". From Rfam's summary of the family: Transfer RNA (tRNA) molecules are approximately 80 nucleotides in length. Their secondary structure includes four short double-helical elements and three loops (D, anti-codon, and T loops). Further hydrogen bonds mediate the characteristic L-shaped molecular structure. tRNAs have two regions of fundamental functional importance: the anti-codon, which is responsible for specific mRNA codon recognition, and the 3' end, to which the tRNAs corresponding amino acid is attached (by aminoacyl-tRNA synthetases). tRNAs cope with the degeneracy of the genetic code in two manners: having more than one tRNA (with a specific anti-codon) for a particular amino acid; and 'wobble' base-pairing, i.e. permitting non-standard base-pairing at the 3rd anti-codon position. The record is from Rfam by way of RNAcentral. Lineage: Bacteria; Bacillati; Bacillota; Bacilli; Caryophanales; Bacillaceae.
UGGGCUAUAGCCAAGUGGUAAGGCAGCGGACUUUGACUUCGUUAUCGUUGGUUCGAAUCCAGCUAGCCCAG